RNAcentral lists this ribosomal RNA (391 nucleotides) under uncultured Gammaproteobacteria bacterium. RNAcentral's name for it is "bacterial SSU rRNA". It matches the Rfam family "Bacterial small subunit ribosomal RNA", at positions 370 to 779 of the family's 1533-position model. Lineage: Bacteria; Pseudomonadati; Pseudomonadota; Gammaproteobacteria. The record is from RNAcentral.
AAUGGGGGCAACCCUGAUCCAGCCAUGCCGCGUGGGUGAAGAAGGCCUUAGGGUUGUAAAACCCUUUCAGCGGGGAAGAUGAUGACGGUACCCGCAGAAGAAGCCCCGGCUAACUCCGUGCCAGCAGCCGCGGUAAUACGGAGGGGGCUAGCGUUGUUCGGAAUUACUGGGCGUAAAGGGCGUGUAGGCGGCUUGCUAGUCAGGCGUGAAAGCCCCGGGCUUAACCUGGGAACUGCGUUUGAUACUGGCAGGCUAGAGGUUGGAAGAGGAGAGUGGAAUUCCCAGUGUAGAGGUGAAAUUCGUAGAUAUUGGGAAGAACACCAGUGGCGAAGGCGGCUCUCUGGUCCAUACCUGACGCUGAGGCGCGAAAGCGUGGGGAGCAAACAGGAUU